This is a non-coding RNA of Kogia breviceps (pygmy sperm whale), 691 nucleotides long. Lineage: Eukaryota; Metazoa; Chordata; Mammalia; Artiodactyla; Physeteridae. The record is from RefSeq and is a predicted model, not a curated record.
GUUCCUCUCUGAAGUACUCAGACAAUAGUAUCUCAGGCAUAUUUCUUGGGUUUUCAGAUGCUAAAAACCACCACCCAAUGGAAGAAAUUAACUCCUUGAUGAUCAUGAGCACGUAGCCCCCAGACCUUCUGGCACCUAAGGAUGGAUAAUGUUACCUGCCCUGUGGCCUCAACAUCAACCAGUCAGAGGAUUGUGCACGAGUAUUCAAUAGGAGCCGUGGACAUUGCUUAGAAAGACAAAACUUCAUUGAAGACCUUCAGAAUGGUCCCAUCAGAAAGAAUCGGGAUUCCAGUGUAUCCAGAACAAGUGGCUUUGAAGACUCAGAGCACAUGAUGGAACCAGUUCACACAGCUAAUAAGUCUGUUAACCAAGGACCGAAGUAUAACCUACCUCGGACCCCAGGUUACCUAACAUCUCGGCAUUUCCAUACCCAGACCCAAGAUUUGCAGCAAUCAGAAAGAAAAUUUUCACAGAAUCAGAACAUUUACCAGAGAGGCCAUAUUCCUCCUCCUGGUCCCCACGGAGAGGACCGUUUACACAGGAGGUACUCUUGGAAUGUAAAGCCAAAUGCCAGUCAAGCAGCGCAGAACAGAAGGUGGUAUCCUGGCGGUUACUACAGACUACCCUAUCCGACCUCUUAUAGAUGGACCAAGUGACACAAGCCUACUGUGGAAACCUAUCUAGAGACAGA